GAGCGAUUCAAUGUAGAGGAUGUGUUCUGUUCUAGCUGUGCUUAAAGUCCGUGUUUCAAACACACUGUUUCUUUGGAAAAACUUUCAUGAUGCUCUGCUGUUUACUCCUUCUAUUUUCUUCUACUAUCAUGGAUGACAGUUUUCAGGAUGAAAUAACAGCAGCAGCUGAAGAAGUGAAUGUUCUGGAGGGAAGCAGUGUUACACUCUCAUGCACUUACACCACUGAUGCAAGCUAUUUACUCUGGUACCGCCAGUACCCCCGAUCCAACCCUGAAUUACUCAUCUCUGUUUGGUAUCACCAGCACCCUGGAUCCAAACCAGAAUUCGUCAUCCUUAUCUAUGCUAUGGAAAAGACAGAGAAGAGGUUCACUGUGAAACAGGACAAAACGAACAGACAUGUGCAACUGGAGAUCUCCUCUGCUGAAGUGACAGACUCUGCACUGUACUACUGUGCC
Conger conger (European conger) is the source of this 455-nucleotide non-coding RNA. The record is from the annotation of a RefSeq genome assembly. Lineage: Eukaryota; Metazoa; Chordata; Actinopteri; Anguilliformes; Congridae.